This 498-nucleotide ribosomal RNA is filed under the name uncultured bacterium. RNAcentral's name for it is "partial 16S ribosomal RNA". It matches the Rfam family "Bacterial small subunit ribosomal RNA", at positions 28 to 507 of the family's 1533-position model. The record is from RNAcentral.
GACGAACGCUGGCGGCGUGCCUAAUACAUGCCAGUCGAGCGGACGGAUGGGAGCUUGCUCCCAGACCGUCAGCGGCGGACGGGUGAGUAACACGUGGGCAACCUGCCUGUAAGACUGGGAUAACUCCGGGAAACCGGGGCUAAUACCGGAUAACUCUUUCCCUCACAUGAGGGAAAGCUGAAAGAUGGCAUCUCGCUAUCACUUACAGAUGGGCCCGCGGCGCAUUAGCUAGUUGGUGAGGUAACGGCUCACCAAGGCGACGAUGCGUAGCCGACCUGAGAGGGUGAUCGGCCAUACUGGGACUGAGACACGGCCCAGACUCCUACGGGAGGCAGCAGUAGGGAAUCUUCCGCAAUGGACGAAAGUCUGACGGAGCAACGCCGCGUGAGUGAUGAAGGUUUUCGGAUCGUAAAACUCUGUUGUCAGGGAAGAACAAGUACCGGAGUAACUGCCGGUACCUUGACGGUACCUGACCAGAAAGCCACGGCUAACUACGUG